This is a long non-coding RNA of Pistacia vera, 308 nucleotides long. RefSeq lists it as uncharacterized. The transcript is spliced from 3 exons. Lineage: Eukaryota; Viridiplantae; Streptophyta; Magnoliopsida; Sapindales; Anacardiaceae. The record is from RefSeq and is a predicted model, not a curated record.
UCCUCCCCAUUACAAAAUCAGCUAAUGCUAGGUAAACCUUCUCACUCAAAACCAACUCACAAGCAAGCACUUGAAGGCCAAAGAUUUUCGCCGCCGUUUCGAUUCCCGAGUUCUAAUCCGAGUUAACUCAGUCCGAUUUUGGGCUUACUUAAGCCUUUUGAAGUGUGCAGAAAUGAGUAAGAAAAAGAAUCCUGUUGUUUUCUUCGACAUAUCAAUUGAUGGGGAUCCUGUGGAAAAAAUUGUUAUGGAGCUUUUUGCUGAUGUCGUCCCUAAGACAGCAGAGAAUUUUCGGGCACUAUGCACAGGUA